UUGAUCAGUAUCCACAGCAGCUGGGCAAAAAGAGGAUCCUUGUAACUGGAGGAUACUGCCUCAUCGCAUUUCUUCUUGGAAUCAUAUUCUGCACACAGGGAGGGCCGUACAUGUUUCAGCUGGUGGACUGGUAUAUAUUCUCCCUUGGACCAAUGGUGAUAUGUACACUGGAGUGUGUCGCCGUGGCAUGGAUCUACGGUAAUGGAUGUUG
RNAcentral lists this long non-coding RNA (211 nucleotides) under Haliotis rubra (blacklip abalone). RNAcentral describes it as "uncharacterized LOC124258790, transcript variant X2". Lineage: Eukaryota; Metazoa; Mollusca; Gastropoda; Lepetellida; Haliotidae. The record is from RNAcentral.